UCCUACGGGAGGCAGCAGUGGGGGAUAUUGCACAAUUGGGUAAACCCUGAUGCAGCGACGCCGCGUGGGCGAAGAAGUAUUUCGGUAUGUAAAGCCCUAUCAGCAGGGAAGAAGAAAUGACGGUACCUGAAAAAGAAGCCCCGGCUAACUACGUGCCAGCAGCCGCGGUAAUACGUAGGGGGCAAGCGUUAUCCGGAUUUACUGGGUGUAAAGGGAGCGUAGACGGAAAGGCAAGUCAGAAGUGAAAACCCAAGGCUCAACCAUGGGACUGCUUUUGAAACUGUCAAACUAGAGUACGGGAGAGG
This 305-nucleotide ribosomal RNA is filed under the name uncultured bacterium. RNAcentral's name for it is "bacterial SSU rRNA". It matches the Rfam family "Bacterial small subunit ribosomal RNA", at positions 337 to 657 of the family's 1533-position model. The record is from RNAcentral.